Molecule: ribosomal RNA, 253 nt
Filed under: uncultured bacterium
Lineage: Bacteria
Description: partial 16S ribosomal RNA
Rfam family: Bacterial small subunit ribosomal RNA
Source: RNAcentral
UACGUAGGGGGCAAGCGUUGUCCGGAAUCAUUGGGCGUAAAGAGCGCGUAGGCGGCCCUGUAAGUCCGCUGUGAAAGUCGGGGGCUCAACCCUCGAAUGCCGGUGGAUACUGUCGGGCUAGAGUGCGGAGGAGGCGAGUGGAAUUCCUGGUGUAGCGGUGAAAUGCGCAGAUAUCAGGAGGAACACCUAUUGCGAAGGCAGCUCGCUGGGACGUAACUGACGCUGAGACGCGAAAGCGUGGGGAGCAAACAGG